UGGGGAAUAUUGCACAAUGGGGGAAACCCUGAUGCAGCGACGCCGCGUGAGCGAUGAAGUAUUUGGUAUGUAAAGCUCUAUCAGCAGGGAAGAAAAUGACGGUACCUGACUAAGAAGCCCCGGCUAACUACGUGCC
This 136-nucleotide ribosomal RNA is filed under the name uncultured bacterium. RNAcentral's name for it is "partial 16S ribosomal RNA". It matches the Rfam family "Bacterial small subunit ribosomal RNA", at positions 355 to 509 of the family's 1533-position model. The record is from RNAcentral.